UACGUAGGGGGCUAGCGUUGUCCGGAUUUAUUGGGCGUAAAGAGCGUGUAGGCGGCCAGGGAGGUCCGUUGUGAAAACUCGAGGCUCAACCUCGAGACGCCGAUGGAAACCCCCUGGCUAGAGUCCGGAAGAGGAGAAUGGAAUUCCUGGUGUAGCGGUGAAAUGCGCAGAUAUCAGGAAAAACACCCGUGGCUAAGGCGGUUCUCUAGUACGGUACUGACGCUGAGACGCGAAAGCGUGGGGAGCGAACAGG
RNAcentral lists this ribosomal RNA (253 nucleotides) under uncultured bacterium. RNAcentral describes it as "partial 16S ribosomal RNA". It matches the Rfam family "Bacterial small subunit ribosomal RNA", at positions 524 to 776 of the family's 1533-position model. The record is from RNAcentral.